UGGGGGAUAUUGCACAAUGGAGGAAACUCUGAUGCAGCAACGCCGCGUGAGGGAAGAAGGUUUUCGGAUUGUAAACCUCUGUUUUUAGUGAAGAAACAAAUGACGGUAGCUAAAGAGGAAGCCACGGCUAACUACGUGCCAGCAGCCGCGGUAAUACGUAGGUGGCAAGCGUUGUCCGGAUUUACUGGGUGUAAAGGGUGCGCAGGCGGGACUGCAAGUUGGAUGUGAAAUACCGGAGCUCAACUCCGGGGCUGCAUCCAAAACUGUGGUUCUUGAGUGGAGCAGAGGUAAGCGGAAUUCCGAGUGUAGCGGUGAAAUGCGUAGAUAUUCGGAGGAACACCAGUGACGAAGGCGGCUUACUGGGCUC
RNAcentral lists this ribosomal RNA (367 nucleotides) under uncultured Anaerofilum sp. RNAcentral's name for it is "bacterial SSU rRNA". It matches the Rfam family "Bacterial small subunit ribosomal RNA", at positions 355 to 736 of the family's 1533-position model. The record is from RNAcentral. Lineage: Bacteria; Bacillati; Bacillota; Clostridia; Eubacteriales; Oscillospiraceae.